This is a long non-coding RNA of Callithrix jacchus (white-tufted-ear marmoset), 2798 nucleotides long. NCBI's taxonomy places the organism in Eukaryota, Metazoa, Chordata, Mammalia, Primates, Cebidae. The record is from Ensembl.
AUGAUUCACCACCGCAGUGUUCACAGCUGGGGAAGCAUUUGUCCCAUUCCUGGUGUAAUUGGUGUGGGCGAGGCUGGGGUCCAAGUGUUGCAGCUGCCUGGAGUUGACUGCCUUGCCUACUUAGCAGUGGCUGUUUUCCAUGGAUAUUUGCAGAAGGUCUGUUCCUUUUUGGAAGAUGGUCUGUACGGAAUGACCAGACACAAGCAGGUGCAUCCAAGAAGGAAGUUUGCCAUGGAAACACAGGAAGUAUCAGAGCCGGGCAACAAGGGAAGCUUUUCUUGUGGUAUCCACACUGGAAGCAGCUCUCUUCCCACCAAAAGCCCUGGAGGUACAUGACACUUCUCUUUGCAAUGGCACAGGAUAUAGAGACUAAUAUCUAUUUAUGACAGCAAGCAGCCAGAGAUGACAGUCUGCAGAGCAUAUUUGGAGAAAGCAACCUCAUGACAAAUGGAGUCAGAGGGGAAUUUGAAUGAAACGUGAACUUUGUAUAAUUACAGAUGGAGAAAUGGCAUUAAAUAAUUGGCAUGAAAAGUCUUGACACAGGACAGUGACCCCUUCAGUCCAGAUGGUGUGAGACACAGACAGAGAGGGACUCAGUAGAGGGCAACAGAAAAGCCAGAUGUGAAAGACAGAGGAAGGACAGCCACAGGGGACCGGAGCAGACACUCCCCUUGGCCACAUCUGGCCAAUUAAAAAUUUUUUCUUAGUUGUGUGGGAUUAUACGGUAUUAUCAGUUCCUUAUUGAAUACCAUUUACAGUUAACUGUAUAUUCAGUUCAGCUUAGGUUCUCGAUAUGUAUAUUGUAUGCAGUUCUUGUUCCACAGUGGGGUUUGAGUUAUUCUCAAAACAUUCUUUGUUUCCUGUUUUUAAAUGAAGUCUGCAGUUAAAGACACCUGCCUGAUAAUGUAUUUUUUUUUUUUGAGACGGAGUUUCGCUCUUGUCACCCAGGCUGGAGUGCAAUGGCGCGAUCUCGGCUCACCGCAACCUCCGCCUCCUGGGUUCAGGCAAUUCUCCUGCCUCAGCCUCCUGAGUAGCUGGGACUACAGGCAUGCGCCACCAUGCCCAGCAAAUUUUUUGUAUUUUUAGUAGAGACGGGGUUUCACCAUGCUGACCAGGAUGGUCUCGAUCUCUUGACCUCGUGAUCCACCUGCCUCGGCCUCCCAAAGUGCUGGGAUUACAGGGUUGAGCCACCGCGCCCGGCUGACAAUGUUACAUAUAUUUGUUUUCAUUGGGAGGAUCUAAGUAAUAAAAUUUGGGUGCCCAGACUGGGCUAAUCAGGGCAAUAGUUACCUCUGAUAGAAAGCAGCUGAGUGAAGCUCAUUCGUACGUGGAGUUACCAUGAUAUUUAUUUAUUUUUGAGACAGAGUCUGACUUGGUGCCCAGGCUGGAAUGCAGUGGCAUGAUCUGGGCUCAUUGCAACCUCUGCCUCCUGGGUUCAAGGGAUUCUCCUGCCUCAGCCUUCUGAGUAGCUGGGGUUACAGGCAUUUGCUGUAACCCCAGCAAAUGGCGUUACACACCUGGCUAUUUUUAUAUUUUUAGUAGAGAUGGGGUUUCACCAUGUUUUCCAGGCUGAUCUCGAACUCCUGACCUCAAGUGAUCCACCCACCUCGGCCUCCCACAGUGUUGGGAUUGCAGGUGUGAGCCACCACACCCAGCCCCAUGAUUUAUAAAAGCAAAAACAAAACCAAAAACAAAAGACAGAACCAAAAAAGAGAUGAGAGAGGCUGACUGGGACAUAAAGUCAGAGAAAAAGGAGGAAGUGCAGACGAGCGUGAGCACGUAAAGCAUAGUGUGCCUAUCAACAGGUGCAGGAGAAUCUGUAAAACGAUGAGCAUAUCUGAGACGAAGGGACUCGUGUAUGCUGUGUUUUUGCUUUUAGGUGAAGAAAGGAAGGCAAGUUAGGAGGAGGAAGAGUGACGGUUGUGUAGAGUCUAUCAUCUCCUGGCUCUAAGGAUCAAUAUGCAAGUCCCGUACAGAGAGAAAUUGCUCUCGAAAGCAGGAAAAUGACUUUUCUAUGUGAUCCAAGUAGAAUGGUGGAGGGGGCAUUACUCCCAAUGAUUGAGUGAAUAUAGUGCCUCUGCAGCAUCCUGAGAGAUUGCUGCUAGAGGCUCGUUAGGAGACAGCUUUGUCUUAGGGGAGCGUCUGUAACUAAGGUAGAGAUGAGGUGCUGCCCUCGGUCACUUCCUGAGCCCAUCCACCAUGAAGGGGUCUGCGUCAGAAGAGGAAGCCUACUGUUAGCAUCAAUAGUGAUUCGUUCGUAAGCACUCAUGGAACACCAUCUGAGAACUUCUAGUUAUAAUUAGAUGAAAGUUCCUAGGGAGUGGCAUAAGAAUGUGGGGACAGGUGUCAGUGAUAUUUUACUUAUUCUAUUAAUAUGUACCUUCUGUGCUGGAUUCUAGAAGCUUAUUAAUAUCCCUGUUGGGAAGGAGGCUUACCAAGAGUAAGCAAUGUGUUUACUUUGCUACCGCAUCUAGACAAGAAGUGGUAGAGCCAGGACUUAAAGCCGUGUUUAUCUGCCUCCAAACUUGUUCAUGGCACCACUAGGCUGUACAAGCUUUCCUGUACUCCCACUUCCAGUACAAUCCCCAAAGCAGUUGUAAUAAGAGGAAUUGUUAAAGAGGUAAGUCUUCAAGUCAUGUGUCAGGUCUUAGACAGUGAAACUUGAGAGAUGAUAUAAAACAGUGGCUCAGGCCGGGGGUGGUGGCUCACACUUGUAAUCCUAGCACUUUGGGAGGCCAAGGUGGGUGGAUUGCUUGAGCUCAGGAGUCUGAGACCAGCCUGGGAAACGUGGUGAAACC